Long non-coding RNA from Alligator mississippiensis (American alligator), 1456 nucleotides. RefSeq lists it as uncharacterized. The record is from RefSeq and is a predicted model, not a curated record. The transcript is spliced from 3 exons. Lineage: Eukaryota; Metazoa; Chordata; Crocodylia; Alligatoridae.
UAACACAUUUUUCGUAUACAGAAUCUAAUUAUUGGGGGGGGGGUUGUCUUAAAUUCAUGGUCAUCUUAAAUUCAGAUUAAUCUUGGAUUUGGGUAAAUCUGGUAUUAUUACCUGCUUUAAGAAUGCAUUUUCCUGACUUUUUGGUCUAUAUAACCCACUAUGCCCCCUCCCUUAACAGCACCUUGGUUCUUUCCUUGAUAUAUCUUCACCCAGCUGUGUUCAGCAGAUCUUUUUCACCUCCUCUGGGACAUUGCAGCAAGUGCUUACACUUUUGAGGCAUUGCAUUGUCUUAUUUUUUUAUCUAUCCUUUUGGAGCAAGCCGUUACCCUCUCAAUGCUAAUAUUUUAAUUGUGAGAAUUAUCCUCCCAAGUCUCUGUAAUGCCAGUUAAGUGACAAUUUUUCUCAUGUACUAUGGCUUCUAGUUUGUUGCAUUGAUAUAUAGGCAUUAAAUAGACUUUGUAGAAUGCACUGCUGUUUUUUCUUUCCUAGCUUUUAAGACAAUAUUAUGGUUUUCCAUCCUUUCUUCAGAAUUUUAUCACCUUUUCCCAACUCUCAUUCCUUGUUCCUAAUUAUGCUUUGGUAUUGUUGUCACAGUCUCCCAUAGGACUUAAAACCCUUUUCAUUAGUUUGCCAGACAAAAUCCAAAGAAGCUCUUGCCAGUAUUUUUAUAAUAUAUUUGAUGCCUUUACUGCAACUCACUUUACCUUAUGCGACAAAAAGCUAAUGACCUGGGAAAGUCAUUCUGCCAGUGCCACUUGCAUAGCCAUGUGUUUGCUUCUUUAACGGAAUGCUUCUUGUCUAGGCCUUUUCCUUCAACAGAGAAUUGAUUAGAAUACUGCCUGCACUUGAAACUCGUUUACAAGACCCUGGACAAGAAUUUUAAUCUCCUUUCAUCCAAUAAGGGUAAUUCGUGACGGGUUUAUUGGUACCCAUACAGAUGAGUAGAAAACAGCAGUGAUUGUGGGUGUCUGAUGAUAUGUUUUGGCCAUCUCUUAUUCUCAUCCUGGAUUUGGGUUCUGGGCAUGCAGCAUGUAUACCUCCCUCCGUUCUGAGAGCAGACCUCACUGGGUGCCUUGGUCUUCUGCAAGCAGGAUUUUGUCGAAUCCACUCAUCAUUCAUGAAGGGGCAAAUGAUACUUCAAGAUUCCCUCUGGAAUCAUUCCAGGAUUACUCUGCCAGGCAUCUGUUCAAAGUUGCGGAGGCUCAGCUUUAAGCAAUAAAUGCUUAUAACAGCUCACAAAGACACUCUCAUGGACCCAGAGGGACAGCCGUCCAUCUUCAGCUCCCUCUGUACAAAAAUGAAGUUCAUUUCCUACCUGUGGACUUUUUACUACCUUGUACCAUCUAUAAUUUCCCAGAUCCUGACGAAGGGACUUCGUUUCCAAAAGCUUGCAGAAAAGGACAAUUUUCUUGUGAUUUCCCAGUUGAUUUAAUAAAACGUAUCAUUUUGGAACCAA